RNAcentral lists this non-coding RNA (117 nucleotides) under Homo sapiens (human). Lineage: Eukaryota; Metazoa; Chordata; Mammalia; Primates; Hominidae. The record is from Rfam by way of RNAcentral.
GCCGGGUGUGGUGGCUCACACCUGUAAUCCCAGCACUCUGGGAGGCCGAGGUGGGUGGAUCACCUGAGGUCAGGAGUUCAAGACCAGCCUGGCCAACAUGGUGAAACCCUGUCUCUA